Molecule: ribosomal RNA, 400 nt
Filed under: uncultured organism
Description: bacterial SSU rRNA
Rfam family: Bacterial small subunit ribosomal RNA
Source: RNAcentral
UGCCUAACACAUGCAAGUCGAGCGCGAAAGGGGGGGCAACCUCCCGAGUAGAGCGGCAGACGGGUGAGUAACGCGUGGGUGAUCUACCUUCGAGUGGGGAACAACACCGGGAAACUGGUGCUAAUACCGCAUGACAUCCUCGGGUCACACCGAGGAUCAAAGCUGGGGACCGCAAGGCCUGGCGCUUGAAGACGAGCCCGCGUCCGAUUAGCUAGUUGGCGGGGUAACGGCCCACCAAGGCGACGAUCGGUAGCCGGCUUGAGAGGGCGGACGGCCACACUGGGAAUGAGACACGGCCCAGACUCCUACGGGAGGCAGCAGUGGGGAAUUUUUCGCAAUGGGGGAAACCCUGACGAAGCAACGCCGCGUGGAGGAUGAAGGCCUUCGGGUCGUAAACUCA